GGGAACCCGGUGAACUGAAACAUCUUAGUAACCGGAGGAAAAGAAAGUAAGAACGAUUUCCAAAGUAGCGGCGAGCGAAAGGGAAAGAGCCCAAACCGAUUGUCUACGGACGAACGGGGUUUAGGACAGCGAGAAGGGAAACCUGUGUUAGUCGAAGGCGGCAGGAAAGCUGCACCGAAGAGGGUGAAAGUCCCGUAGAUGAAAACGCAGGGAACCGAGCUGGAUCCAGAGUACCACAGGACACGAGGAAUCCGGUGGGAAGAAGGGGGGACCACCCUCCAAGGCUAAAUACGACUUGGUGACUGAUAGAGAAAAAGUACCGUGAGGGAAAGGUGAAAAGAACCCCGGGAGGGGAGUGAAAGAGAACCUGAAACCGUAUGUUUACAAGCAGUGGAAGCACGAUUAAGUGCGACCGCGUACUUUUUGUAGAACGGACCGGCGAGUUACGUUAACAAGCGAGGUUAAGAUAUGGAGUAUCGGAGCCGCAGCGAAAGCGAGUCUGAAGAGGGCGAAAGUUAGUUGACGUAGACCCGAAACCGUGUGAUCUAUCCAUGGACAGGUUGAAGUAGGAGUAAAAUCUUAUGGAGGACCGAACCACACUGCCGUUGAAAAGGUAGGGGAUGAGCUGUGGAUAGGGGGGAAAUUCCAAACGAACAUCGAGAUAGCUGGUUCUCCUCGAAAUAGCUUUAGGGCUAGCCUCGGGGUAGAGAAUAAUGGAGGUAGAGCACUGAAUGAGCUAGGGGGCCACAAAGCUUACCGAACUCUAUCAAACUACGAAUGCCAUAUAUUUAUACCCGGGAGUCAGACGAUGUGAGAUAAGUCUCAUUGUCAAAAGGGAAACAGCCCAGACCUACAGCUAAGGUCCCGAAGUGCAGGUUAAGUGGAGAAGGAUGUGGAAUUGCAGAGACAACCAGGAUGUUGGCUUAGAAGCAGCCACUCAUUUAAAGAGUGCGUAAUAGCUCACUGGUCGAGUGAUUGUGCGCCGAAGAUAUAACGGGGCUAAAACCUGCCACCGAAGCUUAGGAAUGUUAGCAAUAACAUUGGUAGAGGAGCGCUGUAUAGCGGCGGAAGCUAAACCGGAAGGAUUGGUGGACGCUAUACAAGAGAGAAUGCCGGUAUAAGUAGCGAGAGCGGAGUGAGAAUCUCCGCCGUCGAAAGCCAAAGGAUUCCUGAGGAAGGUUCGUCCCCUCAGGGUAAGUCGGGACCUAAGCCGAGGGCGGUAGAGCCGUAGGCGAUGGAGAACUGGUAGAUAUUCCAGUACCACCUGACGCGAUAAAAUGAAGCAGUGACACAGGAGGAUAGUCAGAGCGCGCGGCUGGAAGAGCGCGUCCAAGCAGAGAGGGAGGAGCUAUGUAGUGAUAGCUUCAAUUCUGGUCUGUGAUGGGGAGUGAAAAUAGUAGCGAAGCUGAUGAAUUCACGCUGGCGAGAAAAGCUGCUAAGAGCGGAAAGGUGCCCGUACCGCAAACCGACACAGGUAGGCGAGGAGAGAAUCCUAAGACGAACGAGAGAACCCUUGUUAAGGAACUCGGCAAAAUUACCUCGUAACUUCGGGAGAAGGGGUGCCCAUUGAAAGAUGGGUCGCAGAGAAAAGGCUCAAGCGACUGUUUAACAAAAACACAGGUCUGUGCGAAUUCGAGAGAAGACGUAUACGGGCUGACGCCUGCCCGGUGCUGGAAGGUUAAGGGGAAUUGUAAGCGCAAGCGAAGCAAAGAACCGAAGCCCCAGUAAACGGCGGCCGUAACUAUAACGGUCCUAAGGUAGCGAAAUUCCUUGUCGGGUAAGUUCCGACCCGCACGAAUGGCGUAACGACUUGAGCGCUGUCUCAACAGGGGACUCGGCGAAAUUGUAGUAUGGGUGAAGAUGCCCAUUACCCGCGACUGGACGGAAAGACCCCGUAGAGCUUUACUGUAGCCUGAUAUUGGAUUUUGGUAAUGGAUGUACAGGAUAGGUGGGAGGCAUAGAAGCAAGGACGCCAGUCUUUGUGGAGCCGCCGUUGGGAUACCACCCUUUGAUUACCGGGGUUCUAACAGAGAGCCGUAAACCGGCGUUU
This 2050-nucleotide ribosomal RNA is filed under the name human gut metagenome. RNAcentral describes it as "bacterial LSU rRNA". It matches the Rfam family "Bacterial large subunit ribosomal RNA", at positions 179 to 2248 of the family's 2925-position model. The record is from RNAcentral.